UCCGGCCGCCAGCCCCAGCCUCCCGGGUCCGGAGCGGGGACUGGCGGAGGCGGCGAGGGGGGAGCGCGAGCGAGGAGGCACGCGCCCGCCCGCCCGUCCGCGCCCAGACCGUCAGCGCCGCCGCCGCCGCCGCCGCCUUAGCAGCCAUGGCCGAGCGCCGCGCCUUCGCCCAGAAGAUCAGCAGAACUGUGGCUGCUGAAGUUAGGAAGCAGAUCUCUGGACAAUACAGUGGUUCUCCCCAGCUGCUCAAAAACCUCAACAUUGUUGGCAAUAUAUCCCAUCAUACCACAGUGCCCCUUACUGAAGCAGUGGAUCCAGUGGAUUUGGAAGAUUACCUCAUUACUCAUCCUUUAGCUGUGGAUUCUGGGCCUUUAAGGGAUUUGAUUGAAUUCCCUCCAGAUGAUAUUGAAGUGGUUUAUAGUCCUAGAGACUGUAGAACCCUUGUUUCAGCUGUACCAGAAGAAAGUGAAAUGGAUCCACAUGUUAGAGAUUGUAUAAGAAGUUAUACAGAAGACUGGGCAGUUGUGAUCAGAAAAUAUCAUAAACUGGGAACAGGAUUUAAUCCUAAUACAUUAGAUAAACAGAAAGAAAGGCAAAAAGGUUUGCCAAAACAGGUCUUUGAAUCCGAUGAAGCUCCAGAUGGCAACAACUACCAGGACGAACAAGAUGAUCUUAAAAGACGUUCAGUGUCAAUAGACGAUACUCCAAGGGGUAGCUGGGCCUGCAGUAUUUUUGACUUGAAAAAUUCACUUCCUGAUGCUUUGCUUCCCAACUUACUUGAUCGAACUCCAAAUGAAGAAAUAGACCGUCAGAAUGAUGACCAAAGGAAAUCAAACCGUCAUAAGGAACUCUUUGCUUUGCAUCCAUCACCAGAUGAGGAAGAACCAAUAGAACGACUUAGUGUUCCUGAGGUGCCCAAAGAACAUUUUGGUCAAAGACUUCUUGUAAAAUGUUUAUCGCUCAAGUUUGAGAUUGAAAUUGAACCCAUUUUUGCAAGUUUGGCUUUAUAUGAUGUGAAGGAAAAGAAAAAGAUUUCAGAAAACUUUUAUUUUGACCUCAAUUCUGAGCAGAUGAAAGGAUUAUUACGUCCACAUGUACCACCUGCUGCCAUUACCACCCUGGCAAGAUCAGCUAUUUUUUCUAUCACUUAUCCGUCUCAAGAUGUCUUUCUUGUAAUAAAGCUAGAAAAAGUGCUACAGCAGGGAGACAUUGGCGAGUGUGCAGAACCAUAUAUGAUAUUCAAAGAAGCAGAUGCCACCAAGAAUAAGGAAAAAUUGGAGAAGCUAAAAAGUCAAGCUGAUCAGUUCUGCCAGAGACUUGGGAAAUAUCGCAUGCCUUUUGCUUGGACUGCCAUCCAUUUAAUGAAUAUUGUUAGCAGUGCUGGGAGUUUGGAAAGAGAUUCUACAGAGGUAGAAAUAAGCACUGGAGAACGAAAGGGGUCUUGGUCAGAGAGGAGAAAUUCUAGUAUUGUUGGCAGAAGAUCACUUGAAAGGACAACAAGUGGAGAUGAUGCUUGCAACUUGACCAGCUUUCGACCUGCUACUCUCACAGUGACAAAUUUUUUUAAGCAGGAAGGAGAUCGCUUAAGCGAUGAAGAUCUGUACAAAUUCCUUGCUGAUAUGAGAAGGCCAUCUUCCGUUUUACGGCGACUAAGACCUAUUACAGCUCAGCUGAAAAUAGACAUUUCUCCUGCACCUGAAAAUCCCCAUUAUUGCCUAACACCAGAGCUGCUUCAGGUGAAGCUUUACCCUGACAGUAGAGUAAGACCUACCAGAGAAAUUUUGGAGUUUCCUGCAAGGGAUGUCUAUGUUCCAAACACUACUUACAGAAACCUUCUCUACAUAUACCCUCAGAGUCUCAAUUUUGCCAACCGUCAAGGUUCUGCCAGAAAUAUAACAGUUAAAGUCCAGUUUAUGUAUGGGGAGGACCCUAGCAAUGCCAUGCCGGUAAUCUUUGGUAAAUCUAGCUGUUCAGAAUUUUCAAAGGAAGCCUAUACAGCCGUAGUAUAUCAUAACAGGUCUCCUGAUUUUCAUGAAGAAAUCAAGGUGAAACUUCCUGCUACUUUAACUGAUCAUCAUCACUUGCUUUUUACUUUUUAUCAUGUUAGUUGUCAACAGAAACAAAAUACUCCCCUUGAAACUCCUGUUGGAUACACAUGGAUACCAAUGCUUCAGAAUGGACGAUUAAAGACUGGGCAGUUUUGCCUGCCGGUCUCACUGGAGAAACCACCACAGGCUUAUUCUGUACUGUCUCCUGAGGUUCCUCUACCUGGCAUGAAAUGGGUAGAUAAUCACAAAGGUGUUUUUAAUGUUGAAGUUGUUGCUGUUUCAUCUAUCCAUACACAGGAUCCUUAUCUUGAUAAGUUUUUUGCUCUGGUGAAUGCUCUGGAUGAACACAUGUUCCCAGUCCGAAUUGGAGACAUGCGAAUCAUGGAAAAUAACUUAGAGAAUGAAUUGAAGAGCAGUAUUUCAGCAUUGAAUUCAUCUCAGUUGGAACCAGUGGUCCGAUUUCUUCAUCUUCUGCUUGAUAAACUGAUACUUUUAGUUGUUAGACCUCCUGUCAUUGCUGGCCAAAUAGUUAAUCUAGGUCAAGCAUCGUUUGAAGCCAUGGCAUCAAUUAUAAAUCGGCUUCACAAAAACUUGGAAGGAAAUCAUGACCAGCAUGGCAGAAACAGCCUUCUUGCAUCAUAUAUCUAUUAUGUUUUUCGCCUACCAAAUACUUACCCUAAUUCACCAUCACCAGGUUCCGGGGGUUUGGGAGGAUCAGUGCAUUAUGCCACAAUGGCUAGAUCUGCUGUGAGACCUGCAAGCCUUAAUUUAAAUCGUUCUCGGAGCCUUAGUAAUAGUAAUCCAGAUAUAUCUGGGACUCCCACGUCACCAGAUGAUGAAGUACGGUCAAUCAUCGGCAGUAAGGGUUUAGAUCGCUCCAAUUCCUGGGUUAACACUGGUGGUCCAAAAGCUGCCCCAUGGGGAUCCAACCCCAGUCCAAGUGCAGAAUCAACACAGGCUAUGGAUCGAAGUUGUAAUCGUAUGUCUUCGCACACAGAGACGUCAAGUUUCUUACAAACAUUAACGGGACGCUUACCAACUAAAAAGCUUUUUCAUGAGGAGCUGGCUUUGCAGUGGGUUGUUUGCAGUGGCAGCGUUCGGGAAUCAGCUUUGCAACAAGCCUGGUUCUUUUUUGAGUUAAUGGUAAAGAGUAUGGUACACCAUUUAUUCUUUAAUGAUAAACUUGAUGCACCAAGGAAAAGUCGUUUUCCAGAACGUUUCAUGGAUGACAUUGCUGCUCUUGUCAGCACAAUUGGCAGUGAUAUAGUUUCACGGUUUCAGAAGGACAUAGAAAUGGUUGAGAGACUCAACACAAGCCUUGCAUUUUUUCUCAAUGAUCUGUUGUCUGUUAUGGAUAGAGGAUUUGUCUUUAACCUUAUAAAGACCUGCUAUAAACAGGUGUCUUCAAAGCUUUAUUCAUUGCCAACUCCAAGUGUCUUGGUGUCCUUGAGGCUGGAUUUUCUGCGAAUCAUUUGCAGCCAUGAGCACUAUGUUACCUUAAACUUACCCUGCAGCCUGCUAACCCCACCUGCAUCACCAUCACCUUCUGUUUCUUCUGCAACAUCUCAGAGUUCUGGCUUCUCCACCAAUGUGCAAGACCAGAAGAUUGCAAAUAUGUUUGAAUUGUCUGUGCCUUUCCGCCAACAGCAUUAUUUGGCAGGACUUGUGUUAACAGAGCUGGCUGUCAUUUUAGAUCCUGAUGCUGAAGGACUAUUUGGAUUGCAUAAGAAAGUCAUCAAUAUGGUACACAAUUUACUGUCCAGUCACGACUCAGACCCACGGUACUCUGACCCCCAGAUAAAGGCUCGGGUGGCUAUGUUGUAUCUACCUCUGAUUGGCAUUAUCAUGGAAACUGUUCCUCAGCUGUAUGAUUUUACAGAAACUCACAAUCAACGAGGAAGACCGAUCUGUAUAGCCGCCGAUGAUUAUGAGAGUGAGAGCGGAAGCAUGAUAAGCCAGACGGUUGCCAUGGCAAUUGCAGGAACAUCAGUUCCUCAACUAACAAGGCCCGGCAGUUUCCUCCUCACAUCAACGAGUGGCAGGCAACACACUACCUUUUCAGCAGAAUCAAGUCGAAGUCUAUUGAUCUGUCUGCUUUGGGUUCUCAAGAAUGCAGAUGAGACAGUUCUACAAAAGUGGUUUACAGAUCUCUCGGUCCUGCAGCUAAACCGGCUAUUAGAUCUGCUUUAUCUUUGUGUAUCUUGCUUUGAGUACAAAGGAAAGAAAGUAUUUGAAAGAAUGAAUAGCUUGACCUUUAAGAAAUCAAAAGACAUGAGAGCAAAACUUGAGGAAGCUAUUCUUGGAAGCAUAGGUGCUAGGCAAGAAAUGGUGCGCCGAAGCCGAGGACAGCUUGAGAGAAGCCCAUCUGGAAGUGCCUUUGGAAGCCAAGAAAAUCUGAGGUGGAGAAAGGAUAUGACUCACUGGCGUCAAAACACUGAGAAGCUUGACAAGUCAAGAGCAGAGAUUGAACAUGAAGCACUGAUUGAUGGAAAUCUGGCUACUGAAGCAAAUCUAAUCAUUUUGGAUACAUUAGAGAUUGUUGUCCAGACAGUUUCUGUAACAGAAUCCAAAGAGAGCAUCCUUGGUGGGGUGCUAAAAGUGCUACUACAUAGCAUGGCCUGUAACCAAAGUGCAGUUUAUUUACAACACUGUUUUGCUACCCAGAGAGCCCUGGUUUCAAAGUUCCCUGAACUCUUGUUUGAAGAAGAGACAGAGCAGUGUGCUGAUUUGUGCCUCCGGCUUCUCCGGCACUGUAGCAGUAGCAUCAGUACAAUACGGUCACACGCUAGUGCCUCCCUUUACCUACUUAUGAGACAGAACUUUGAGAUUGGGAAUAACUUUGCCAGGGUUAAAAUGCAGGUAACCAUGUCACUGUCUUCCUUGGUGGGCACAUCUCAGAAUUUUAAUGAAGAAUUCUUAAGACGUUCUCUAAAGACUAUACUGACAUAUGCUGAAGAAGAUUUGGAAUUGAGAGAAACAACAUUUCCUGAUCAGGUCCAAGAUUUGGUUUUCAAUCUCCAUAUGAUCCUUUCUGAUACUGUUAAAAUGAAGGAACACCAGGAGGAUCCUGAAAUGUUGAUUGAUCUAAUGUACAGAAUUGCCAAGGGCUACCAGACCUCUCCAGAUCUGCGGCUGACCUGGUUACAGAACAUGGCUGGCAAACACUCGGAACGCAGCAACCAUGCUGAAGCUGCGCAGUGCCUCGUUCACUCCGCAGCACUUGUUGCUGAAUAUCUGAGCAUGCUGGAGGACCGGAAGUAUCUUCCUGUGGGAUGUGUAACAUUUCAGAAUAUUUCAUCUAAUGUUUUAGAAGAAUCUGCAGUCUCAGAUGACGUGGUAUCUCCAGAUGAAGAAGGUAUCUGCUCUGGAAAGUACUUUACUGAGUCAGGACUUGUGGGAUUACUGGAACAAGCAGCUGCUUCUUUCUCUAUGGCUGGCAUGUAUGAAGCAGUUAACGAGGUUUACAAAGUACUUAUUCCUAUUCAUGAAGCUAAUCGGGAUGCAAAGAAGCUAUCCACGAUUCAUGGUAAACUUCAAGAAGCAUUCAGCAAAAUUGUUCAUCAGGAUGGUAAGCGGAUGUUUGGCACCUAUUUCCGUGUUGGUUUUUAUGGAACCAAGUUCGGGGAUUUGGAUGAACAGGAAUUUGUUUAUAAGGAGCCUGCAAUAACCAAACUUGCAGAGAUAUCUCACAGAUUGGAGGGAUUUUAUGGAGAAAGAUUUGGAGAAGAUGUGGUUGAAGUAAUCAAGGAUUCUAAUCCUGUAGACAAGUGUAAAUUAGACCCUAACAAGGCAUAUAUUCAGAUUACCUACGUGGAGCCAUACUUUGACACAUAUGAGAUGAAGGACAGAAUCACAUACUUUGACAAAAAUUAUAAUCUUCGUCGUUUCAUGUACUGUACACCCUUCACUUUAGAUGGUCGUGCCCAUGGGGAACUUCAUGAACAAUUCAAACGGAAGACCAUUCUAACUACUUCUCAUGCCUUCCCUUAUAUUAAGACAAGGGUCAAUGUCACUCACAAAGAGGAGAUCAUCUUAACACCAAUUGAAGUUGCUAUUGAAGACAUGCAGAAAAAAACACAGGAGUUGGCAUUUGCAACACAUCAGGAUCCAGCAGACCCCAAAAUGCUUCAGAUGGUACUCCAGGGAUCUGUAGGCACAACAGUGAACCAGGGACCUUUGGAGGUUGCCCAGGUUUUCCUGUCUGAAAUACCCAGUGACCCAAAGCUUUUCAGACAUCAUAAUAAACUGCGACUCUGCUUCAAAGAUUUUACUAAAAGGUGUGAGGAUGCCUUAAGAAAAAAUAAGAGCUUAAUUGGGACAGACCAAAAGGAGUAUCAAAGGGAACUGGAGAGAAACUAUCAUCGCCUUAAAGAGGCCCUACAGCCUCUGAUAAACAGAAAGAUCCCUCAGUUAUACAAGGCAGUAUUACCUGUUACCUGCCAUAGAGAUUCCUUCAGUCGAAUGAGCCUGCGCAAAAUGGAUCUCUAAUAUAAAUGCACUUGUUUUAUUCACUGAAAAAAGCCAUGUAUUCAACAUUGUGAAAAGAAUUUAAGAGCUUUUUCAAGACUUGGGACUUAAUUCUUGAAAUUAUUGCAUUAAUUUACUCGUGGAAGAAUGCAGUGGCCAAACAAUAUCAAAUGCCAAUUUUUGAAGUUUGAGAAUCAUGGCUGUGGUUUCUAAUGUUCUGGUAAUAUGCUGUUAUCUUUUUAAAGACAUUUUAAUGACUCAAAGGUACACUUACAUUUACCAUUAUUUAUACCAUAGCUAAUGUUAAAUUUAUUUACUUUUAAGUUUGUAUUUUUUAAUUUAUAUUACAGUUUAUAGAUUCAUUUUGGAACCAUUUUAAAUGUAGUAAUGCUUAUUUUAAAGGUACUAUUAAAUAUGUGAAUGUUUACACUAAUUUUACUGAGUGAGCCUUUAAAAACUUUUAUUGACAAAAGCAAAGAAUAAGUUAGAGCUGAUUCAAGAAAGUUCCAGAACUAGCAAAAUGAAAAUCAUAAUUGACAGUCAUUUUAUGGGCCCAGAUAAUAGCUCCAAAUUAAAUAAAUGAACAAAUUAAUGGGUGGAAAUAAAUUAUUGAUAACUGGUUUGUAAAGUCUUAAAAUUGGUUUCUAAGGUAUUUUCCAUUUAGACACCCAAAAGAGGGAUUUAGAAUUGCAGAAGUAACUUUACCUGAUAACUUCUGUAAAUAAAUAAAUACAUACUGGGAUAGCUAAUAUGAGUGACAAUAGUUUGAUCUUUGAUUCUCAACCUUAUUAUAGUAAUGAUAGUAGUAUGAGCUGACUCUUCAUGACUAAAAUGAAUGAUUCCUCUGUUUUAAAUUAAAUAAGCCAGUUACUACAUCAGUUUAGUGUUCUAAACAGGUAAAUUAGAAAUCUGCUUUAAACUUGUAUCACCAUAAAAACAAGAGAGCUGGUGUUUGAUUUUAAUCUACCAGCUGAAUAAGAAGUUAUAGUUAUUUUUUGAUACUUGUAUAGAUUCUACAAAGUACACGUGUAAAAGGUAAAAUCAGCUGUUAAGAGUUAAUUUAAAAUUGUAACUUUAUAAGAAACUAAUGCAGAUAUUUUUCAACAUAUAUUUCAAUUAUUCGGCAAGUUUUUCCAAGGAAGUACAUAUUAACCAUUUCUGGAAGUGUCUGAACAUUUUCUCUUUGUGCAGUAUUGUAACUUACAGAAAGAUAUCCCUUGUAAUGUAUCCCUUUGAUCUACUGACCAGAUGAAUCACUUAAGAGCGAAUCACUUAAUAACGUUCAUUCUCCUGAGAGCAUAGAUAUGAUGGCUAUUACCCACUCCAACCUACCUUUACAACAGGCAUUAUUUUCUGAUUCCUCUUAUCUCAUGAAUUCAACGACCAAAUCAAAAAGGUUUUUCACCCCCUAGGUGAACUAGGGAGUCAGAAAAGCAUAACCUCAAAAACAUAUUUGGGAACAGAGGAUCUGGAUGGUCCAUAAGGAAAGGCAGUCAAGAACAGAAAUCCUUUAAAGCAAACAAGAAAAGCCUCUUAUGUUCUCCAGUUUUGGAUUCCAUAAAGUUAUAUGUCCACUCUAAAGGAUAAUUAGGUAUGACAAUUUAAGAUGGACUAAGCACAAUUUCUCCCAUUUGGAAAUUUUUUCACCUCCAACUGCUGGAAAGUAUUGAGUAUUAUUAAAGGUAAUUAUGCAUGUUUAUUCUCUUUUAUGUAUACAUGUGUGUGUAUAGUAUGUUUGUGGGUGUAUAUACACACACUUGUUUUUUUAAGAUAAUCCAGCUAUAUUUAUGGUAAAAAAAAUAUGCAAGUAAAAACAUCCUCAAGCAUUUGUAUACAUAGUUAAGCAGUUUAAAUUUUAUUGACCUUCUGGUUUUUAAAAAAAGUUAAAUUUAAGGUCACACCUCUAAGUUUGAUGUACUAUAUAUACACAGACCGUGCAGAGUAUGACUAUGAAGAGAUACAAAUUAGUCCAUGCCCAAAAAGAUUUACUAGAGUACAGAAUCAUUUUCAUAAAUACAUAUAAAAUUCUUGUAAAGAUAGAAGAGGACUGACUCUCCAGGUUUUCUGAGACACUUUUCAAAGUGAUUCAAAGCACAUAAUGUGCACUGUUGUGAAUGCAUACAUAUUCUAGACUUUGUGCCUCUAAUGAUUACCAGCCCAUCAAAGAUUUGGCUUCAUGACUUACAAAACUAAAUGUACUGAAAUGAAAUUCUGCUUCUUAGCUGAAAAACCAAAGGACCUAUAAACAUCGUGUAGAUAAUUACUCCAAAAUAUGGAGAUACAAAUUCAAGCACUUUAUUUUAAAAAGCAAACACAAAAGAUAGAUGUAAAUUCAAAGUGUUUAAAUGCUUCCAUUUUGAAUAACUCAGUUAAGAACCUAUACAAGUUUGCUCCCAGAAGCUAAUGCAUCACUAGUCUCUACUAAGGAAAAUGAAUUCUAAAAAUUAACAUGGUUUUCAGUAAUUCAAAUUUUAC
RNA transcript from Hippopotamus amphibius kiboko, 8990 nucleotides. It is a transcript of the gene named dedicator of cytokinesis 7, with no coding region annotated. The record is from RefSeq and is a predicted model, not a curated record. Lineage: Eukaryota; Metazoa; Chordata; Mammalia; Artiodactyla; Hippopotamidae. The transcript has 50 exons.